GGAGUUGGCUCUUUCACUUAAUAAAGGUCGCCCUGUGGUCGAUGGUAUUCCAGAGGGCACUUCGUCAGACUUUGCUACCUCCCACAACAACUCAAGUGACUUGUUGCUGAUGGACACAUUGUAUUAUUGGAUCCAACUGAAACCACACAGUCUGUUGCAAUUAAUGAUGAUGAAGAGACCACAUCUGCUGUGACUGAAUUAGAAAGUGCUGGGAGACCCACAGAGAAUCUAGCUGGGGAUGUACAUGCAGAUGAGGGUCCAUCUACCUCUACACAUAAUCUUAGCAGUUUGUCUGCAAAGGAGGUGUAUAAGGUCUAUCUAUUAAGGCAAAUUAAAAAAAACGGACAAGGACAUGGACCUUAUACAGCUUCAGCUAGAGGAGAAAAGGCUGGCCAUUAAAAAGGCCAGACUUGAAAUAGAACUACUGGAGCAUCGCCUUAAGGAUCUGAAGAAAUAGAACAGAUUAAAUAAAGUGAUUUUGACAAAUCAUGUCUCUAAGCAUUCUGCCAUCUCUGUGGCCUGCUAGAUUCAAUGGGUGUUGUUCUAGGUCAUCUUCAUCAGGACAGUGGGAUGCCUCUCUCCUCUUAUUGUGGCAAUGUUGUGAAGUACCACACAAGCAACUGUGAUGUCACAUGCCCUAUUUGGAGUGACCCCGAGCCCACGCAGACACUGAAACCUCGCCUUCAGAAUGCCUAUUGUCAUCUCCACCGUGGCCCAUGUUCUGCUGUGAGACAGGUUGUUACUUGCUGGGGGACAGAGGAUACCCUUGCCUCCCCUAUAUGAUGACACCCUACCAAGCGUAUCUGUGGUCCGGGCUCAGGAUCAGGGUAGGGUGUCAUCAUAUAGGGGAGGCAAGGGCAUCCUCUGUCCUCCAGCAAGUAACCAUAGAAGUGUCCUGUAUUGUUUGAGGUGUUUUGUAAA
Molecule: long non-coding RNA, 921 nt
Organism: Xyrauchen texanus (razorback sucker)
Lineage: Eukaryota; Metazoa; Chordata; Actinopteri; Cypriniformes; Catostomidae
Exons: 6
Source: RefSeq, a predicted model, not a curated record